AGAGUUUGAUUCUGGCUCAGGAUGAACGCUAGCGGCAGGCCUAAUACAUGCAAGUCGAACGGUGUCUUCGGACAUAGUGGCGCACGGGUGCGUAACACGUAUGCAACCUACCUUACAUUGGGGGAUAGCCUUUCGAAAGGGAGAUUAAUACCGCAUAAGACAGUAGCUGGGCAUCCAGCAGCUGUUAAAGAUUUAUCGAUGUAAGAUGGGCAUGCGUCCAAUUAGUUAGUUGGCGAGGUAACGGCUCACCAAGACUUUGAUUGGUAGGGGAACUGAGAGGUCAAUCCCCCACACUGGCACUGAGAUACGGGCCAGACUCCUACGGGAGGCAGCAGUAGGGAAUAUUGGGCAAUGGACGCAAGUCUGACCCAGCCAUG
RNAcentral lists this ribosomal RNA (377 nucleotides) under uncultured Cytophagaceae bacterium. Its description in RNAcentral is "bacterial SSU rRNA". It matches the Rfam family "Bacterial small subunit ribosomal RNA", at positions 8 to 396 of the family's 1533-position model. The record is from RNAcentral. Lineage: Bacteria; Pseudomonadati; Bacteroidota; Cytophagia; Cytophagales; Cytophagaceae.